AGGAAAUAAGAUGUAUUUAGAGGCCUUACAGUCUAUAGUGAGUGAAUUUUGCCACAAAUUUGCACAUUUUCAGUCUUCAAAAUUAUUUCAUUUGAGAGAGAGAGAAGGGUAGGGUUUCUUGUAAUAAUAUGCACUGCUGGAACAUGAAGAAAUCAUCCUUAUCCUCUUGUACAAGUUGUAAAUGGUGCUUCCACUGCUUUUCUGUGGUGCUCUGGGCAAUAUAUCAAGCAGAGUGGCAGAUUCUUUUGACCAUGGCUGAUCCUCAGAAAAGUUUCUGGAGGGGAAGGAAGCCUGGAUUUUUGUUCUUUCCUUCCACAAGCUUUCUUUGCCUUUACUCUGUAGUACUGCUUUUUUCUGCUUAGCUCUAUGGACCUUUUAUUACUAACAGUACUGUAUGCUAUUUCUUUUUAAGUAUGUCAAGUAGUUUGAGGUUUUGUACUGAGGCCACAUCAAAGAUGGCUGACACCAGAAGAUUCUUUGGCAAUCCACUAAAGAGGGCCCUCAAAGCUUUCAUCACUGUAGCUGCUGAAACUUCAGUUUUUAUAAGUAUAAUAAAAUAAAUA
This is a long non-coding RNA of Alligator sinensis (Chinese alligator), 563 nucleotides long. RefSeq lists it as uncharacterized. The record is from RefSeq and is a predicted model, not a curated record. Lineage: Eukaryota; Metazoa; Chordata; Crocodylia; Alligatoridae. The transcript has 3 exons.